Molecule: long non-coding RNA, 1023 nt
Organism: Strongylocentrotus purpuratus (purple sea urchin)
Lineage: Eukaryota; Metazoa; Echinodermata; Echinoidea; Camarodonta; Strongylocentrotidae
Exons: 3
Source: RefSeq, a predicted model, not a curated record
ACUGCCGUGAAUGGACGUCACACGUAUCAGUCCACGCAAAUCUAAAAGUCCCUAAUUUUGCGAUGUAAGUUCCUUCUGAAAUGCAAAGACACGCGGUAUACACGUAGUAAACUGUUUUUUGCGAAUUUCUGAUUGAAAUACUUACUUACGAUAAUAGCAAUUAGUGUUAAAAAGGCGCGCGCGCAAGGAGUUCGCUAAAUUCAGCGAACUCCGUGCAUGCGCCUUCGUAUACUAUAUACUAAACGCUAUUAUCGUAAAGAUAAUAUAUAGGGCACCAGAUUUUCCUGUUAGCUCAUCAUCAUGCACCUUGUGGCCGUACGACAGCCGAGACUUGUCAACAGUAGGAAGGCGGGCUGGUGUUCCAGUGACAGAAGACGUGGACAUCAACAUCGUCAUCCCCUCGUAAAAAACGUCCAAGGAAUUCAAGAUGCCUUAUCAAGCAGGAGACCAUCCCGCACGCUGACAUUAACCAAAUACUUCCAUACCCCAGGAAUUUGAACAGGAGGUGUCGCUUUGUUCCUCAGUUCAGGUAGAGUGAGAUCAGGAGGACGUCGACGCUGCAGAAUUUCGAACAGUUCAACAAGGGUUGUUAACUGUGCUUUCUUCCAAAGUGUCAAUGUAGACCCAAAAGAAACUAAUAAGGACAUUGGCAAACAAAGUCUAAGAUGGCUGGGCGGUUCACCACCUUCGAAGAAGCGUUUUGGUAGUCGGUGAUGAGGACUACAUUUCAUUUGUAUCUACGGAGGCCGAGUAUCUCAAUGUAAUUCCUUCCCCUUUUAGGCCUUUAAAUAAACAGAAACAAAUGCGAAAAUAUAAUUUUAGAUCAAGAAAUACAUGGUGCGCAUGCAUUAUUGUCUAACCCAGAAAAUAAUCAACAACUCGCUGGUCAACGAAAAUAAGGACACAAAAGAGUGUGAUGAAGUGAAAAGCGCCUGGACAUCUGACGGCUGCAUCAUCGCGUUGAUAAAGCAUGAUGGUUCCCCGAUGAAGCGUGUGAUUAAGAACAUGGAUGAUCUGAGAAGA